UAUUACUAAAAUUGUGAAUUAAUUUGAAGUUGGCGCGUUACAUUAUGUACAUAUAAAGAAGCGCAAUCGAUAGUAUCAAUAGUAUCGAGCCAAAACGAUCUGAAUUAUGAUCACUAGAUUUAAGAGAUAUACGAAAUAAAACGAACGAGCAAGGAACUACAUCGAGCGGAUUAAGGAAGGUCUUAAUUGUGUAGACGGAUUCCACUGGAAAACUGUUGGAGGGACUUAGCUCGUACAGAA
This is a long non-coding RNA of Drosophila miranda, 240 nucleotides long. RefSeq lists it as uncharacterized. The record is from RefSeq and is a predicted model, not a curated record. The transcript is spliced from 2 exons. NCBI's taxonomy places the organism in Eukaryota, Metazoa, Arthropoda, Insecta, Diptera, Drosophilidae.